RNAcentral lists this ribosomal RNA (468 nucleotides) under uncultured bacterium. RNAcentral describes it as "bacterial SSU rRNA". It matches the Rfam family "Bacterial small subunit ribosomal RNA", at positions 39 to 500 of the family's 1533-position model. The record is from RNAcentral.
GCGGCAGGCCUUACACAUGCAAGUCGAGGGGUAACAGGAGAAAGCUUGCUUUCUCGCUGACGACCGGCGCACGGGUGCGUAACACGUAUGCAACCUACCUCUUACUGGGGGAUAGCCCAGAGAAAUUUGGAUUAACACCCCAUAGUAUCACCAGUUCGCAUGUUCAGGUGAUUAAAGGUUACGGUAAGAGAUGGGCAUGCGCCCCAUUAGCUAGUUGGUGAGGUAACGGCUCACCAAGGCUACGAUGGGUAGGGGGUCUGAGAGGACUAUCCCCCACACUGGUACUGAGACACGGACCAGACUCCUACGGGAGGCAGCAGUGAGGAAUAUUGCGCAAUGGACGAAAGUCUGACGCAGCCAUGCCGCGUGCAGGAUGACGGCGCUAUGCGUUGUAAACUGCUUUUAUAUGCCAAGAAACCUUCGGACGUGUCCGAAGCUGACGGUAGCAUAUGAAUAAGCACCGGCUAA